This 497-nucleotide ribosomal RNA is filed under the name uncultured bacterium. Its description in RNAcentral is "partial 16S ribosomal RNA". It matches the Rfam family "Bacterial small subunit ribosomal RNA", at positions 28 to 507 of the family's 1533-position model. The record is from RNAcentral.
GAUGAACGCUGGCGGCGUGCCUAAUACAUGCAAGUCGAGCGAACAGACGAGGAGCUUUCUCCUCUGCGGUUAGCGGCGGACGGGUGAGUAACAAGUGGAUAACCUACCUAUAAGACUGGGAUAACUUCGGGGAACCGGUGCUAAUACCAGAUCAUAUAUUGAACCGCAUGGUUCAAUAGUUAAUGGCGGUUUUGCUGUCACUUAUAGAUGGAGUCGCGCCGGAUUAGCUAGUUGGUAAGGUAACGGCUUACCAAGGCAACGAUGCGUAGCCGACCUGAGAGGGUGAUCAGCCACACUGGAACUGAGACACGGUCCAGACUCCUACGGGAGGCAGCAGUGGGGAAUCUUCCGCAAUGGGCGAAAGCCUGACGGAGCAACGCCGCGUGGGUGAUGAAGGUCUUCGGAUCGUAAAACUCUGUUAUUAGGAAAGAAAAAAUGUGGAUGAAUACAUGGCCGUCUUGACGGUACCUAAUCAGAAAGCCACGGCUAACUACGUG